This 497-nucleotide ribosomal RNA is filed under the name uncultured bacterium. RNAcentral describes it as "partial 16S ribosomal RNA". It matches the Rfam family "Bacterial small subunit ribosomal RNA", at positions 28 to 507 of the family's 1533-position model. The record is from RNAcentral.
GAUGAACGCUGGCGGCGUGCCUAAUACAUGCAAGUCGAGCGAACAGACGAGGAGCUUGCUCCUCUGACGUUAGCGGCGGACGGGUGAGUAACACGUGGAUAACCUACCUAUAAGACUGGGAUAACUUCGGGAAACCGGAGCUAAUACCGGAUAAUAUAUUGAACCGCAUGGUUCAAUAGUGAAAGACGGUUUUGCUGUCACUUAUAGAUGGAUCCGCGCCGCAUUAGCUAGUUGGUAAGGUAACGGCUUACCAAGGCAACGAUGCGUAGCCGACCUGAGAGGGUGAUCGGCCACACUAGAACUGAGACACGGUCCAGACUCCUACGGGAGGCAGCAGUAGGGAAUCUUCCGCAAUGGGCGAAAGCUUGACGGAGCAACGCCGCGUGAGUGAUGAAGGUCUUCGGAUCGUAAAACUCUGUUAUUAGGGAAGAACAAAUGUGUAAGUAACUAUGCACGUCUUGACGGUACCUAAUCAGAAAGCCACGGCUAACUACGUG